Molecule: long non-coding RNA, 409 nt
Filed under: Olea europaea subsp. europaea
Lineage: Eukaryota; Viridiplantae; Streptophyta; Magnoliopsida; Lamiales; Oleaceae
Source: RNAcentral
UCCUUUAUGGUUUGCUGGCAUAUACAUACAGGGUGUCCACCUUUAAUCUGCCCCAUAGGAAAAAUACACGUGAAAACGUUUUUUCUGUCCUCAAAAGUCGCCAGUAUGUAUUUAAGUCGUAAAAAUAAAGAUCUAGGGGUAAUUUGAUGCAAGAAAUCGAUUGGUGCUAGUUUCAAGGUUUUACGACCUACAGUUCAAAAGAUAGGGUUCGAAGCCAGCUCCAGAUUGAAUUUUUAAAGUAGCUUACAUUUUAACGAAUUAAAAUUGUAUUUUAUGUAUGUUUGACUGAGAAAUCGAUUGGUGCUAAUUUCAGAGUCAUUGCAUGGACUUACAACUGAAAAUUUGAGGGUUCAAUUCCAAACCAAAAAGUUGAAAUUAAAACGAUACAAUUUUACCUGUAUUUUUCCUG